GAUGAACGCUGGCGGUGUGCCUAAUACAUGCAAGUCGAGCGGUAAGGUCUCUUCGGAGAUACACGAGCGGCGGACGGGUGAGUAACGCGUAAGAAUGUACCCCAAAGUGAGGGAUAAGCACCAGAAAUGGUGUCUAAUACCGCAUAUGCUCUUAGGAGUAAAGCUUCGGCGCUUUGGGAACAGCUUGCGUAUGAUUAGCUAGUUGGUAAGGUAAUGGCUUACCAAGGCGCCGAUCAUUAGCGGGUCUGAGAGGAUGAUCCGCCACACUGGGACUGAGACACGGCCCAGACUCCUACGGGAGGCAGCAGUAGGGAAUUUUCCACAAUGGGGGCAACCCUGAUGGAGCAACACCGCGUGCAGGAUGAAGGCCUUCGGGUUGUAAACUGCUUUUGUCUGUGACGAGUAUGACGGUAGCAGACGAAUAAGGAUCGGCUAACUACGUGCCAGCAGCCGCAGUAA
RNAcentral lists this ribosomal RNA (459 nucleotides) under uncultured bacterium. RNAcentral describes it as "partial 16S ribosomal RNA". It matches the Rfam family "Bacterial small subunit ribosomal RNA", at positions 28 to 523 of the family's 1533-position model. The record is from RNAcentral.